AUGGAUAAUAAUCGGGUAUAAGGCAGACACCGAAGGCGCGGGAUAGCAAUUAUGAAAGUAUCGGUAGGGGAGCAUACUCACAGCGUCGAAUGGUGUACGUAAGUUAUCCUGGAGCGGUGAGUAAAGCAAAUGUAGGAAUAAGUAACGAUAAGGAGGGUUAGAUUCCCUCCCGCUGUAAGACCAAGGUUUCCCGGGCAAUGCCAAUCAGCCCGGGGUCAGUCGGGUCCUAAGUCUAAGCCGAACGGCGAUGGCGAUGGCAGAGACGGUUAAUAUUCCGUCACUGCCGCAUGGGGCGACGUGGAGACGGAGCAGUGAAACCACCGCGGGGCGACGGAAGUCCCCGUUGAAGAGUGUAGGUGUUGAGGAUGGCAGGCAAAUCCACCAUCCGAGCUGAACUUGACAGUACGGAGUCCUCCUCGGAGGAAUCUGAUAGUGUGGGUAAUCAUACUCCCGAGAAAAUCCGCUAAGCUUAACCCAUGCGGCACCCGUACCGCAAACGGACACACGUGGUCGGGUAGAACAUACUAAGGCGUUGAGAGAUUCAUGGUUAAGGAACUAGGCAAAUUGACCCUGUAACUUCGGGAUAAAGGGUCCUCGUGAUGAGCGAGGCGCAGAGAAUAGGUCCAGGCAACUGUUUAACAAAAACACAGGGCUGUGCAAACU
Molecule: ribosomal RNA, 663 nt
Filed under: Stenotrophomonas maltophilia
Lineage: Bacteria; Pseudomonadati; Pseudomonadota; Gammaproteobacteria; Lysobacterales; Lysobacteraceae
Description: partial 23S ribosomal RNA
Rfam family: Bacterial large subunit ribosomal RNA
Source: RNAcentral